GAUCUGGAUGCAGCACUUGAAGUCAUACCAACACGCCAGCACUUCAGGCAGACUCAGAGCCAUCAGUACCAGAACACCUCGUCCUGGAGGGGCUCCAGCUCAAUGCAGCCUGCAGUUCUCACCCCAACAGAGACAAGGUCUUCAGCGCCAGUGCCAAGGGCACAGCAGCAAGGGGCACCUUGAAGGUGGUUGAUCCAGGCAGGCAAAGCACGCUGAGCACGGGGGAAACCAGAAGGCACAGACUUCAGUGUUAUUUUGUGGGAAAACAUUUAGAAACUGCAAGGAAGCUGUAAAAGAAUGCAACCAGGAUCCAGCUUCUGAAGACUAGAAAAAUGACUAGAUUGUUUUCAAGACUAGAAAGCUUCUAAAGUAAUGGAGAAAAAGUGUUCAAGAGAAAAGUGCUCCUGGGGCAAAAAGGCAAAUGAUGACAAAAUAGGGGCUCUUUUGCCAUCAUCUGCUCGCUCUUCUUGGUCUCCUGGAGGGCUGUCACUUGAAUGAGGCCAAAGGACAGACUGGGAUCCAUUGCUGCCACAACGGAUGCUGGGGUGAAGAUGGGGAUGCCAUCUUUUGUGGGGAUGCCACAAGAGCUGGAGUGAGGAUGGCCACCCAGUAAGCCCAGUUGCUGCUCUCCUGCUGCUGAGCCUGGUGGGAUCACACUCUGUAGCUGAAAGAGGUAUAAAGCAGUAUAUUUUACCUCCUAUUUGCUGUGGAAAUUUGCCUGUCACAGGUUUGUUGAAGGUGGUAACUCACUAAGCCACAAGCUCAGUCACGCGUUUAAUUCUGAAGUGUGGUGGGAUUUAAUCUCAGUCCAUAUGAAGACAUUAAACAACACCCACUGGCAAACCCAUCAUCCACAACCUGGAACAGGUCCUGCACAGCAGCUUCCUCCUCAUGCGUGGAAGUGAUUCCUCCCAUCCAGCACAUGCUUGGAGGCACAUCUGAAGUAUGAUGUACAGUUUCCAUGCUAACAGUCCUGUCUCUGAAAGAAAGCUGCUUUGGAACAGGUGUCUCUGAGAGAAUUGUGAGGAGAUGGUGACCCUAAGCUGUGCCUCAGCAAAAUACAAAUGCUAGAGCACAGUCCUGAUCAGACCUCAUCUUGCAAACAUAUGACUUUGGGCAGCUUUGCAAAUGACUUGGCUAUCCUGAGCAAGUCUAUUUUAAUGUCAAGAGGAGACCAGCCACACACUCACUCAUGCUACACCUCCAGGUAUGUGACUUCAAGAACUUCAUCUUCCGGAUAAAAUAAAAGCGUCUGCUCUGAAUCAGACAGUCUCCUCUACAUCACUGCUAAUAGUGGAUUGCUCAUAUAAUCUACCUCUGAUUUCCCCACUACUGAUAGCAAUAGAUCCCAGAAAAUUAGGUGUGAUUUAGGCAGUCAGCCUGCUCUAGAAGUUGCAGGUCUUCAACUGCUUCAGCUGCUGAGCCUUUUGGAACAGCUCGAGCUGUAAAUAUGUGCUCGAUGCUUUUGCAUUUUUUAUUAUAUGCUGAUGCAGUUUUUCUGUGUCCUCGCUAAUUUGCCAAUAAAACAUGGCACACAGAAUUCAUGUGUUGUGCUGGGGACAAACUGUUUAGAAGACAGUAUCAGAAAACUACAGAUUAAAAUGUUUCCAGGUGGAAAAAGCAUAAGAAUUGGAAGCAAGAUGACUCUAUAAUCUGUUGUCCUGAGGGGCUCUUCUGAUAUUAAAAAAAAAAAAAAGGUUUGCUUUCAUCGGUGCCAAAGCCAUUUAAAGGAAAACUGUUCAUUACUUUAUAAUCUCGUGUUUAAGGGCAAUUUGCAUUUUUCAGAAGGAAACUUGACUCUCCAUAAAUUCAGAUUGUUGGAUUGGGGCUUCAACAACAGAACAGCAAAUUGGUCAUUGCUUUUGGUACAACACCAUCUGUUAGUAUGGAUCUUUUUAAAAACAGCUUGUCCUGUAUUUCACCCUUCAUCUGUUCUUCUUUAGAGCUGCUCACCUUCAGUCCAAGGACUUAAAAGCACUGAAUGUACACUACUUAAGCUUCCCCAUUAGGACUAUUCAAGGAAGAAUGCAACAGGCUAUGAGGAGCAGUUGACCUGCCCAGGUCUGCUCUGCCUGACCUUUAGAGUUCCUCCCAGUUGUUUGCCUCAUCCAAAGCUUCAUCUUUUCUUCUCUGCCACAGUACAAAAUGCCAUUCCUGCCUGGCAAUGGAAGCGCAUGGCCAAUACUCCUCUUUCCCCACUCGAGUGAGGAAAUUUUACUUGUAGAUGUAACAAAUAAAAAACUUUUUGUGUCUUUUUUUUUAAUUUUCUCCAACACAAUAUAACAUAACUGCAUUCAGACAGCUGCUGUUGGUUCUCCUUGGACUUUUCCCAGCAACCCCAUGCCAGGUCCCUGUGUGCCUCAGUGCAAGCAUUAAUAUUCUCCUACUCCUUCGACAAACAGCAGUCACAAGUCAUUGAACAAAUCUCCCCGGACAGUUGACGAAACUGAGGGAACAGAAAACAACUCAUUCCUCAUCCACAGAGUCAAGAACUGUUCCUGAAAGGGUUUUGAUUUUGGCUUUAAAAAUGUAACAAGAGAUCUUUGUUUUUACUUUUUCCACGGCAAGGAUAUUCACUCUAACAAAAAUAGACAGGAAAGUAGAACACAGCUGAUGUCCUUAAGAAGUCAACAGUCACAUCAAAACGUAUGGCUAUCUCCGUUCUUGAUUAAUGCCACGUGAAAGGUGGCUCCAUAGCUAUGAGCUCUGGGCAAAAGCUGAAAACUUUCUCGAGGUGUUGCCAGCUGUUUUGUAAAAGCCAGAAAGAGUGCUUUUCACAGAAGAGGCUGCAGUAUGUUUGCUAGUCACACAAGUGCUCACAAUUCAGCAGCAUCUAUUCAUGCUGCCUUGUGACUAACUGCAUUAUAUGUACCUUGCAGGGACCAGGCAGCAGCUCCAUGCCGUCAUCUCUCUGGUAAAUCACAAUGAUCAAAACUGAAAAGCCCUUUUCCUACUGUUUCUUUCUUUAAAUGUAGUUGUUUUUUGAAGCAAGAAAAAAAUAUAAAGUGAGAGAGAGCUGAAGUAAAGAUGUAAAGGUCUGGAGACACAGGCUCUGCCAGCUUACAGCAAAACCGAGCUGCUGACUCUAGAUGGAAAAUAUGCCCAUUUGCUUAGGCUGAAGAGUCUGUUUUGCUGAGGCCACCCAAGCCAGGUGAUGUUCCAGUACCAUCAAAAAGUGUCCUCGUGCUAACGGCAAUGAAAGCCCUCAGCUAAAGUCGAGGUUUAGAGCACCCGUUCUGGGACUCUCUCCCCUUGUUCCACCACAUCACCUGCAGCUGCUGGAGGCUUGAGCCACUGCACUUUUAUAAAAUACUACAAUUCUGGAAAAGGACCAGAAAGACAAUGAGG
This 3348-nucleotide long non-coding RNA is filed under the name Gallus gallus (chicken). The record is from RNAcentral. Lineage: Eukaryota; Metazoa; Chordata; Aves; Galliformes; Phasianidae.